AACGAACGCUGGCGGCAUGCCUAACACAUGCAAGUCGAACGAGACCUUCGGGUCUAGUGGCGCACGGGUGCGUAACGCGGGGGAACCUGCCCUUAGGUUCGGAAUAACUCCCCGAAAGGGGUGCUAAUACCGGAGAAUGUCUUCGGACCAAAGAUUUAUCGCCUGUGGAUGGGCCCGCGUUGGCUUAGCUAGUUGGUAGGGUAAAAGCCUACUAAGGCGACGAUCCAUAGCUGGUCUGAGAGGAUGAUCAGCCACACUGGGACUGAGACACGGCCCAGACUCAUACGGGAGGCAGCAGUGGGGAAUAUUGGACAAUGGGCGAAAGCCUGAUCCAGCAAUGCCGCGUGAGUGAUGAAGGCCUUAGGGUUGUAAAGCUCUUUUACCCGGGAUGAUAAUGACAGUACCGGGAGAAUAAGCUCCGGCUAACUCCGUG
This 433-nucleotide ribosomal RNA is filed under the name uncultured bacterium. Its description in RNAcentral is "partial 16S ribosomal RNA". It matches the Rfam family "Bacterial small subunit ribosomal RNA", at positions 29 to 507 of the family's 1533-position model. The record is from RNAcentral.